This is a long non-coding RNA of Poecilia latipinna (sailfin molly), 770 nucleotides long. RefSeq lists it as uncharacterized. The transcript has 3 exons. The record is from RefSeq and is a predicted model, not a curated record. NCBI's taxonomy places the organism in Eukaryota, Metazoa, Chordata, Actinopteri, Cyprinodontiformes, Poeciliidae.
GCCCAAACUGGAUCCGGUGUCGAGAAGUGGAGGAAGACGCCUCCUUGUGUACAAAAUGAUGCAAUUUUGUUUGCACAACUACGCCAAUGAGAGCUGAUUUCAACCCUUCAGUUGAAGUAUGGUUACACCCUUGCUCCAUUUCCAUCCUUCCAGGAUAGGCUAUUCUUCUAAAAAUUUCUGCUGUGCUGAGCAGUCUGUACUGCUGAGCCUCCAGGCCUCCUUUCUCUUUCCCUUCAUUUCAUUUUCUUCUACAGAACAUCGCCACAGAUUUAUCACCUAGUGCUGUUUUCAGCCCCUAAGCAUGGGAUAAGCAUUGGAUCGGUGCGGCGUGGAGUGGGGCGAGGGGGGGAGGGUCUGCUGUGAAGACACAAGAGAAUAUGUGAUACUGAUGGGAAUGGUGAACCAUCAAUACACCUGCAGUUCGUGGCAGUUUCUGAUAUGGUCGACAUAGGCAACCGCCCAUGGCAGCAUCAUCCGACGCCUCCCCUGAUCCCCCCAGUUAAUAAAAGGUUGCCUCGUCCAGUUCGUGUUGUAUGUGCUCUUCUGCCACAAUUGAAAAAGAAGUUUGAGCGUCAAGGUUUGACCAUGGACCAGCAACCUGUCCAGGAUGUACCCCGCCUCCCACCCGAUGACCACUGGAAAUAGGCACCAGUUGGUAGAGAUGUUGUUAUUCAAGGAGUUUUCAAGUACCGCCUUCGUUCAUCCAGUGGCACAAGCCCAAAGGUCAAUCAACAAUUCCAGUCUGCUGCCACUUAAAUCACCUGAACACA